AGCGAACGCUGGCGGUAGGCCUAACACAUGCAAGUCGAACGGCAGCACAGGAGAGCUUGCUCUCUGGGUGGCGAGUGGCGGACGGGUGAGGAAUACAUCGGAAUCUACUCUGUCGUGGGGGAUAACGUAGGGAAACUUACGCUAAUACCGCAUACGACCUACGGGUGAAAGCAGGGGACCUUCGGGCCUUGCGCGAUUGAAUGAGCCGAUGUCGGAUUAGCUAGUUGGCGGGGUAAAGGCCCACCAAGGCGACGAUCCGUAGCUGGUCUGAGAGGAUCAUCAGCCACACUGGAACUGAGCCACUGUCCAGACUCCUACGGGAGGCAGCAGUGGGGAAUAUUGGACAAUGGGCGCAAGCCUGAUCCAGCCAUACCGCGUGGGUGAAGAAGGCCUUCGGGUUGUAAAGCCCUUUUGUUGGGAAAGAAAUCCAGCUGGCUAAUACCCGGUUGGGAUGACGGUACCCAAAGAAUAAGCACCGGCUAACUUCGUGCCAGCCGCCGCGGUAA
Molecule: ribosomal RNA, 506 nt
Filed under: uncultured bacterium
Lineage: Bacteria
Description: partial 16S ribosomal RNA
Rfam family: Bacterial small subunit ribosomal RNA
Source: RNAcentral